This 253-nucleotide ribosomal RNA is filed under the name uncultured bacterium. Its description in RNAcentral is "partial 16S ribosomal RNA". It matches the Rfam family "Bacterial small subunit ribosomal RNA", at positions 524 to 776 of the family's 1533-position model. The record is from RNAcentral.
CACGUAGGGCGCAAGCGUUGUCCGGAAUUAUUGGGCGUAAAGAGCUCGUAGGCGGUCUGUUGCGUCCGCUGUGAAAACUCGGGGCUUAACCCCGAGCCUGCAGUGGAUACGGGCAGACUAGAGGUAGGUAGGGGAGAAUGGAAUUCCCGGUGUAGCGGUGAAAUGCGCAGAUAUCAGGAGGAACACCGGUGGCGAAGGCGGGUCUCUGGGCCGUAACUGACACUGAAUCGCGAAAGCUAGGGGAGCAAACGGG